ACCCCGUGCAGUACCCGAACUGGGUCAGCAGGAGCGCCAGAUUCACGACCAGCUCUCCGGCACGACCAAAGGCAUAGGCACCAACGUCGCCGUAAAGCACUUGUCGAGCGGGCACACACGACGCUGCCCCCGGAGAGUCCGAACUGACCUCUGCGAACGGUGCACGUUCUGAGCCAGGUUCUGUGCCGCCGCGUUGUCUCUGCCACCAUUCUGCUGGGAUAUGGCGCUUCACGCGCACGAGUAAGACACAGCCAUAGAAGGUCAACAGACUGACUAGGACCAAACCCAGAAUGCCUCGCGUCACGCCAGCGUAGGAAAACGCAUAGGAAACGUAGAGAAAGUUCAAACCGAGGAAUCCUUUCAGCAAGUUGGCAAACUCACCCAGCACGCUUUUCAAACUCGAGCCCGACGUGCGAAGCGUGUCGCUUUCGGGUUUCGUACCGGUUGCGUCCGCGUUUUCCGCAGAGUGCUCGGUAGCCACAACCAGGUCCGGGACACUGUCUGCAGCGGCCUGCGACGAGGCACCUCCCGGCGAGCUCGCCGCGUCUGGUGUAAAACGCCCGACCAUGAAGGAAGCUUGCUUCGCAUUCGCGUACGUCUGAGACAGCGUCAAUGACGAAGAGUUCACGCUGUGAGGAAACCGCACCUAGUCAGGCGGGUAGGCAGUCUGCCUGAAUACGUUCGUACGUAUGGGUGUCGCGCGCGACUCGAGAAAGUAACGACAGCAGGUAGAGGCGCGCGUGGAUACUCCGCCAAGCUCCGACGUGAGACACGGGGGCUGGUUGCUCUCAUAUGCACGUUGAGGGUGCCUAUGCUUUGAAUGCACGUAGUUGUAGGUGUGUCUGCUUUCCAGGGAAAAACUGUGCAGGAAUAUGGGCGAACGGAUGCAGUGUCUGCAUAGAAAAACGAAAGCGUUGAGCAGUACGCGUUUGUUUUUCAUAGUAGCUAUCGGAAAAUCGACGCUUCGUUGCUUGAUCCCUGAACAAAUCAGCAGAAAGGUUGCAAUGAGAAGUCUAUCUUGCCGGCAGCAAGUCUCGAGCAGGCAUCCUGGCAAGCUGGCUGGUUCCCGAUCUAGCGAAAUCAAUACCACGAAAACGAGCUGCUUCCGGUGUCGGUGCACUGUGCUCGCGGUGCCUCUACUACGUCGUGUCGCGACUUGUGCCGCUGGAGCGUGAACUCUGCCGCAGAACGAUACGCAGCGCGAACAACAAAGCACGCUGUUGCUGUGGAGCUGUCGCAGCUCCUGCUGACAGCAUCAGGCUGCGUAACCUGGUAGAGUCUCGUUCGGUGCAUCGAUCUCGUUUGGCGUACCCGACGGACUACACGAAUCAGGGAAUCGCUGAACCAUACGCAAUGGUUAUUGGCAUCUGGGAGAGCGUCCAUUAUGCUGCAGGAGACUUGCAAGCUCCACUGGGUACCAGCCAUAAUUCCAUGCGGAUAUCAUGGUCGAUUCAAAUGGUCUAAUAGGUGCUGAGCUCACCGUACGCGCUCACUACCAAGUCUGUGGAUGCAUGGAUCCUGUGCAGUUGAUAAAGCAUCCACGUUCGAAACCGAUACUUGGUACGAUGGUAGACAGUUCUUUCAUGCCAGCUGGGCGUGCUGCAGGACGGUGCAUGUGCUCGCUGCUCAUCCUCCAAUGCUCGACAUGCACUCUUGUGAGAAUUAAAAAUGAAACAAGUCCAUGAGCACGGGGCGUGCAAGUCUAACCUGGGAUCUAUCUCUGCUAUCAGCAAUACCAGCGUUUGCGGGCUUUUUCGAAGACGACUUUGUCUCUCUGAUCUCCGGAUUUGAACACGUUGGUGUGCCUGCUUUUCGCCCAGCUCCGCUGCGGGCAGUCGAAUGAAGUUGACAGCAGCUUUCAAGUCCCGAAAUCAAAGCGCCAAGCUGUGAUUCAAGCAUUUCAUGCACAGGCAAGCGUUCCGAUUUGCGCUCGGCAUGCCAGAUUCAUACUUUUUUUGUGUAUGGCCUCGAUGCGCACUUCGUAGCGGUGACGCUCGGCACGGGUAUGGUAAGGGGUUUCCAUGUAAGAAAUGUGCUUUCACCUGCGGGCGGUGCACGACGGUGCAUGAACGCCUGCCUCAUGGCUCGGUACAUGCCCUUGACAGGCGUACAAGGCUUUCCUCGAUACUCGGCUCGGUUUCCGCCCCGGUGCACCGCACCCUAUGAUCACAGGCUUUUUCUGGGCGAUCCCCUUGUCAAGGACGCGGUCCGCCGCACGCGCAAGCUGUUCUGUUCGAUACAGGAUUUGCGGAAUGCGAUGCUGUUCAUAAUGAAACAAGUACCGGAACGAAACUCCAUCUUGGAGAACAAGUCGCGCAGCAUCGAUUCGUUUGCGUUGCUUUCGUACAAAGCGGUGGUGUACGCUCUACUGGAAGUGAUCGCUGCGAUGACAGGUGCCCGAGUCGAACACCCUUCCCGACGCAAAAGAUAGAGAUGCAGACGCUAUGGAGCAUGCUCCGCGAUAGGUAGCAUACUGCCGUAAAGUACCGAAUCAUCAACGGCUGCAGAGAGAGACAGCAUGAUUUGUCUAUCGAA
RNA transcript from Cyanidioschyzon merolae strain 10D, 2535 nucleotides. RefSeq lists it as hypothetical. Lineage: Eukaryota; Rhodophyta; Bangiophyceae; Cyanidiales; Cyanidiaceae. The transcript has a single exon. The record is from RefSeq and is a predicted model, not a curated record.